RNAcentral lists this transfer RNA (62 nucleotides) under Dilophotes sp. Ja LB-2014. RNAcentral's name for it is "partial tRNA-Ser". Lineage: Eukaryota; Metazoa; Arthropoda; Insecta; Coleoptera; Lycidae. The record is from RNAcentral.
AAAGAAAUAAUAAAAAAAAAGCUUCUAACUUUUACCAGAGCAUCAAAUUGUUCAUAUUUCUU